GGGAUCGUCUCCUCAUCCUGACAGCAUUUCUUACGCAACAGCCAGAGGUUGUUAUUGCCUCUCGCGUUUCUCAAAAGCGAUCCUGCGUGCCCAAAGUAACCUCAAGCCGUGAACAGAUCAAAUGCCCUGCACUGUUUUUAUAAGUGCUCGCACGUCAGGAAUUUCUGACUUGUCCACGAGUGGUCGCUGCUGCUGCUGCUGCUCCCGGAACAAGUUUCUUUUUCAGCUUCCGCUGCCACAACCACGCAAACUUCAAACGAGGGAAAUCUUAGCGGUCUGUGUCAUCAAACUGUAGUUGGAAGGGGCAUGCAGAUCUACAGCUUAUAACAUCGGGGUUCGAUGAAGCGUUUUACAGGCAUUGAACCAAGUUCCUCUUGGAGCUCCUCAAACGGCCGGUCAUCUGAUCUUCAUUGUGACGCCGCCAUGGAGUACACUCUUCUGCACUGGAGCGGGU
Non-coding RNA from Zootermopsis nevadensis, 454 nucleotides. Lineage: Eukaryota; Metazoa; Arthropoda; Insecta; Blattodea; Termopsidae. The record is from RefSeq and is a predicted model, not a curated record.